Sus scrofa (pig) is the source of this 1757-nucleotide non-coding RNA. Lineage: Eukaryota; Metazoa; Chordata; Mammalia; Artiodactyla; Suidae. The record is from RefSeq and is a predicted model, not a curated record.
CUGCCGAAAGCUGACUUCGUCCGAGAACUCUAGGAUGAGGUUGUCCUGCGUCGGGCAAGAUCAGAACUGCCAUAAGACUGCAGGAAAACCCCUGAGGCCCAGGAUCUGGAGUGUGAGGCACCCUCUACCCACUUCAGGAGGAGAGCCACCUGAAUGCUGAGAAGGAGACUGGACUCCGAGGCCAAGGGCGUGCCUGGCCGACCUGCCCUCCCAGCCCGCCCCGGGCCCCCUGCCGGCUUCUCUCUGGCCUCUCUUUCAGGGUUUCACAGGGUGGGUCCAUCAAACCUGGCAGAGCACGCGGAGGCAGUCCCUUGAUCCAUCUUCUAGGAACUAGGAUGCACCUGUUGGGAGUCCCCGCUCCAGUGGACCUUUCCCGGGCUCCUUCCUUCCCAGCCUCUGCGGUGGCACCAGCUGUCUGGAAAAGGCACUGCUCCUAGGACCUGGGACUCUUGUUCCUGGCACCACCCGUGCCCCUCCCCCUCUGAAUAUCCAGUUCUCUACCCUCACGAAGGAGAUUCGAACUUCAGGCAGCCGGACAAAACCAAACACUCACGGGUUCUGAUUCCCUCCAAGGCCAAGGUCUCCUGAUCCUCAGUGGAGAAGGCUGGGCUGGACCCCUUCCCUUCAUCCCUCUUCUUUUCCCUUUUUGCUCCAGAGCGCUGCUCUGACCCUAAGGCUUUUCCAUUUACCAUCAACAUGGAAACUUGGCUCUUCACAUGGUAUAUUCUCCCUCUUUUGUGCAUUAUCUUGCUCCUCAAAAUGGCCCUUCCAUGAAGGAGGGAGAGGAUCAAGGGGCCUGGCUAGUCACCCAGGUCCCCAUAAAGCCUCUCAAGCCACAGGCUGAGUGGAAGUUGAAUAAAAGCUUCAUGUCCUUGACCACUGGGGCUUGUGGUUGGUGUGCUGAUUCUCAAGGGAAGACACAGGGGGAUUCUUUUUGUCCUUCCCAUCCAACCCCGGUGGAUGGUGUUUGUGCUGCAAUGAAGUAGUUAUAAGGGUGCCCCUGGCCCUCCCACCUCCGCCUUUGAGUAAAGCUCAUCACUGUCUCAGCUAGGGACCUGGCACCAGCUGGCUUACUAGACAUCUGGCAGGGUUUUCUGAGCAUUUGCAUUGUGCUAGGGCAGGAACUAAAGAAAUAAAUUUAUCCACCAGAAUGUCAGGUCACAAGAUGGAUGUAGGAGCAGGUAAAUAGUGAUUCAUAUUGAGGUUCUGGAAUUUUGUUAGUUACUAUUUUUAUAACUUUGUUCUUUUAGUCCUUGAGGAUAACUUUGUUCUGUUGGUCCUUGGCAGAGGAUAAAGGAAGAAUUGUAAAGGAACGGAUUACUGGUGGGAGGAGGUGUUGUCCUCGUUAGAGUGCGAAUGGAAGGUACUGGUAUCCCCCCACUGGCCUGUGCUGUGCACCUGGGAGGUGUGGGCAACUUUCCUGGAUCUCACAAUUGGGAGUGAAAGUUUUAGAACACAAAACAUCCGCCUAUGAGGCCUCAGAGCUUGCCCAGUGCCCCUGCCCCACUCCCAUUCCUGUUUUUCCUGUGAGUCACAGAGACCAGAGCUGAUUUGGCCAGAGGGCUUCCCUAAGACUGUUCCGGGGCCCUGGUUAUGUAUUUUUGUGCCCCAGUGCUGACCACAGAAUACUAGGGGGUUGUCUUCUGUAAUGGCUCUGGGGUCCUCUAAGGAACAGGAAUGGUGGAGCCUGUGCUAACCUGGAGCUCACUGCAGCAGAAGCAUGAGUUCUUCAGGAGCUCUUCCUUGGAGAACUUAAC